RNAcentral lists this ribosomal RNA (512 nucleotides) under uncultured bacterium. RNAcentral's name for it is "bacterial SSU rRNA". It matches the Rfam family "Bacterial small subunit ribosomal RNA", at positions 355 to 858 of the family's 1533-position model. The record is from RNAcentral.
UAGGGAAUCUUCCGCAAUGGACGAAAGUCUGACGGAGCAACGCCGCGUGAGYGAAGAAGGUCUUCGGAUCGUAAAGCUCUGUUGUUAGGGAAGAACAAGUAUCGGAGGAAAUGCCGGUACCUUGACGGUACCUGACGAGAAAGCCACGGCUAACUACGUGCCAGCAGCCGCGGUAAUACGUAGGUGGCAAGCGUUGUCCGGAWUUAUUGGGCGUAAAGCGCGCGCAGGCGGUCCUUUAAGUCUGAUGUGAAAUCUUGCGGCUCAACCGCAAGCGGUCAUUGGAAACUGGGGGACUUGAGUGCAGAAGAGGAAAGCGGAAUUCCACGUGUAGCGGUGAAAUGCGUAGAGAUGUGGAGGAACACCAGUGGCGAAGGCGGCUUUCUGGUCUGUAACUGACGCUGAGGCGCGAAAGCGUGGGGAGCAAACAGGAUUAGAUACCCUGGUAGUCCACGCCGUAAACGAUGAGUGCUAAGUGUUGGAGGGUUUCCGCCCUUCAGUGCUGCAGCUAACGC